UGGGGAAUAUUGGACAAUGGGCGAAAGCCUGAUCCAGCCAUGCCGCGUGAGUGAUGAAGGCCCUAGGGUUGUAAAGCUCUUUCACCGGUGAAGAUAAUGACGGUAACCGGAGAAGAAGCCCCGGCUAACUUCGUGCCAGCAGCCGCGGUAAUACGAAGGGGGCUAGCGUUGUUCGGAAUUACUGGGCGUAAAGCGCACGUAGGCGGACUAUUAAGUCAGGGGUGAAAUCCUGGAGCUCAACUCCAGAACUGCCUUUGAUACUGAUGGUCUCGAGUCCGGAAGAGGUGAGUGGAAUUCCGAGUGUAGAGGUGAAAUUCGUAGAUAUUCGGAGGAACACCAGUGGCGAAGGCGGCUCACUGGUCCGGUACUGACGCUGAGGUGCGAAAGCGUGGGGAGCAAACAGG
This 404-nucleotide ribosomal RNA is filed under the name uncultured bacterium. RNAcentral's name for it is "bacterial SSU rRNA". It matches the Rfam family "Bacterial small subunit ribosomal RNA", at positions 355 to 776 of the family's 1533-position model. The record is from RNAcentral.